UUGAACGCUGGCGGCAGGCCUAACACAUGCAAGUCGAGCGCGAAAGGUCUUCGGGCUGAGUAAAGCGGCGGACGGGUGAGUAACGCGUGGGAAUCUGCCCAGUAGUGGGGGACAACAGCCGGAAACGGCUGCUAAUACCGCAUACGCCCUACGGGGGAAAGGGGGGGAUCUUCGGACCUCUCGCUAUUGGAUGAGCCCGCGUCGGAUUAGCUAGUUGGUAGGGUAAAGGCCUACCAAGGCGACGAUCCGUAACUGGUCUGAGAGGAUGAUCAGUCACACUGGAACUGAGACACGGUCCAGACUCCUACGGGAGGCGGCAGUGGGGAAUAUUGGACAAUGGGGGAAACCCUGAUCCAGCCAUGCCGCGUGUGUGAAGAAGGCCUUAGGGUUGUAAAGCACUUUCAGUGGGGAGAAAGGUUUGUCACCUAAUACGUGAUGAAAUUGAUGUUACCCACAGAAGAAGCACCGGCUAACUCCGUGCCAGCAGCCGCCGUAA
RNAcentral lists this ribosomal RNA (496 nucleotides) under uncultured bacterium. RNAcentral describes it as "partial 16S ribosomal RNA". It matches the Rfam family "Bacterial small subunit ribosomal RNA", at positions 30 to 523 of the family's 1533-position model. The record is from RNAcentral.